UAGGAUCUAAAAAUUGUGAUCUUUGGACAG
Molecule: non-coding RNA, 30 nt
Filed under: Mus musculus (house mouse)
Lineage: Eukaryota; Metazoa; Chordata; Mammalia; Rodentia; Muridae
Source: RNAcentral